UAAGGAAUAUUGGUCAAUGGGCGGAAGCCUGAACCAGCCAUGCCGCGUGCAGGAAGACAGCCCUAUGGGUCGUAAACUGCUUUUAUACCGGAAUAAACCCCUUUACGUGUAAAGGGCUGAAUGUACGGUAAGAAUAAGGAUCGGCUAACUCCGUGCCAGCAGCCGCGGUAAUACGGAGGAUCCAAGCGUUAUCCGGAUUUAUUGGGUUUAAAGGGUGCGUAGGCGGCCUGUUAAGUCAGGGGUGAAAGACGGUAGCUCAACUAUCGCAGUGCCCUUGAUACUGACGGGCUUGAAUGGACUAGAGGUAGGCGGAAUGAGACAAGUAGCGGUGAAAUGCAUAGAUAUGUCUCAGAACACCGAUUGCGAAGGCAGCUUACUAUGGUCAAAUUGACGCUGAGGCACGAAAGCGUGGGGAUCAAACA
This 422-nucleotide ribosomal RNA is filed under the name uncultured Pedobacter sp. Its description in RNAcentral is "bacterial SSU rRNA". It matches the Rfam family "Bacterial small subunit ribosomal RNA", at positions 355 to 774 of the family's 1533-position model. The record is from RNAcentral. Lineage: Bacteria; Pseudomonadati; Bacteroidota; Sphingobacteriia; Sphingobacteriales; Sphingobacteriaceae.